UGGGGAAUCUUCCGCAAUGGACGAAAGUCUGACGGAGCAACGCCGCGUGUAUGAUGAAGGUCUUCGGAUUGUAAAGUACUGUCUUUAGGGAAGAACGGUCAAUUUGAGAAUAUUGAGUUGACAUGACGGUACCUAAAGAGGAAGCCCCGGCUAACUACGUG
RNAcentral lists this ribosomal RNA (161 nucleotides) under uncultured bacterium. RNAcentral's name for it is "partial 16S ribosomal RNA". It matches the Rfam family "Bacterial small subunit ribosomal RNA", at positions 355 to 507 of the family's 1533-position model. The record is from RNAcentral.